CCUACGGGGGGCAGCAGUGAGGAAUAUUGGUCAAUGGGCGCGAGCCUGAACCAGCCAAGUCGCGUGAGGGAAGACGGCCCUACGGGUUGUAAACCUCUUUUGCCGGGGAGCAACGGGCGCCACGUGUGGCGCCACUGAGAGUACCCGGAGAAAAAGCAUCGGCUAACUCCGUGCCAGCAGCCGCGGUAAUACGGAGGAUGCGAGCGUUAUCCGGAUUUAUUGGGUUUAAAGGGUGCGUAGGCGGAGCGUUAAGUCAGUGGUCAAAUUGAGGGGCUCAACCACUUCCCGCCAUUGAAACUGGCGAUCUUGAGUGGAAGAGAAGUAUGCGGAAUGCGUGGUGUAGCGGUGAAAUGAAUAGAUAUCACGCAGAACCCGGAUUGCGAAGGCAGCAUGCCGGCUUCCUACGGACGCUGAAGCACGAAAGCGUGGGGAUCGAACAGGAUUAGAUACCCUAGUAGUC
This 460-nucleotide ribosomal RNA is filed under the name uncultured bacterium. Its description in RNAcentral is "partial 16S ribosomal RNA". It matches the Rfam family "Bacterial small subunit ribosomal RNA", at positions 338 to 795 of the family's 1533-position model. The record is from RNAcentral.